GAGUUAUCUGAACCUUCGGGGAACGAUAACGGCGUCGAGCGGCGGACGGGUGAGUAAUGCCUAGGAAAUUGCCCUGAUGUGGGGGAUAACCAUUGGAAACGAUGGCUAAUACCGCAUGAUGCCUACGGGCCAAAGAGGGGGACCUUCGGGCCUCUCGCGUCAGGAUAUGCCUAGGUGGGAUUAGCUAGUUGGUGAGGUAAGGGCUCACCAAGGCGACGAUCCCUAGCUGGUCUGAGAGGAUGAUCAGCCACACUGGAACUGAGACACGGUCCAGACUCCUACGGGAGGCAGCAGUGGGGAAUAUUGCACAAUGGGCGCAAGCCUGAUGCAGCCAUGCCGCGUGUGUGAAGAAGGCCUUCGGGUUGUAAAGCACUUUCAGUCGUGAGGAAGGUAGUGUAGUUAAUAGCUGCAUUAUUUGACGUUAGCGACAGAAGAAGCACCGGCUAACUCCGUGCCAGCAGCCGCGGUAAUACGGAGGGUGCGAGCGUUAAUCGGAAUUACUGGGCGUAAAGCGCAUGCAGGUGGUUUGUUAAGUCAGAUGUGAAAGCCCGGGGCUCAACCUCGGAAUAGCAUUUGAAACUGGCAGACUAGAGUACUGUAGAGGGGGGUAGAAUUUCAGGUGUAGCGGUGAAAUGCGUAGAGAUCUGAAGGAAUACCGGUGGCGAAGGCGGCCCCCUGGACAGAUACUGACACUCAGAUGCGAAAGCGUGGGGAGCAAACAGGAUUAGAUACCCUGGUAGUCCACGCCGUAAACGAUGUCUACUUGGAGGUUGUGGCCUUGAGCCGUGGCUUUCGGAGCUAACGCGUUAAGUAGACCGCCUGGGGAGUACGGUCGCAAGAUUAAAACUCAAAUGAAUUGACGGGGGCCCGCACAAGCGGUGGAGCAUGUGGUUUAAUUCGAUGCAACGCGAAGAACCUUACCUACUCUUGACAUCCAGAGAACUUUCCAGAGAUGGAUUGGUGCCUUCGGGAACUCUGAGACAGGUGCUGCAUGGCUGUCGUCAGCUCGUGUUGUGAAAUGUUGGGUUAAGUCCCGCAACGAGCGCAACCCUUAUCCUUGUUUGCCAGCGAGUAAUGUCGGGAACUCCAGGGAGACUGCCGGUGAUAAACCGGAGGAAGGUGGGGACGACGUCAAGUCAUCAUGGCCCUUACGAGUAGGGCUACACACGUGCUACAAUGGCGCAUACAGAGGGCGGCCAACUUGCGAAAGUGAGCGAAUCCCAAAAAGUGCGUCGUAGUCCGGAUUGGAGUCUGCAACUCGACUCCAUGAAGUCGGAAUCGCUAGUAAUCGUGGAUCAGAAUGCCACGGUGAAUACGUUCCCGGGCCUUGUACACACCGCCCGUCACACCAUGGGAGUGGGCUGCAAAAGAAGUAGGUAGU
Molecule: ribosomal RNA, 1381 nt
Filed under: Vibrio sp.
Lineage: Bacteria; Pseudomonadati; Pseudomonadota; Gammaproteobacteria; Vibrionales; Vibrionaceae
Description: bacterial SSU rRNA
Rfam family: Bacterial small subunit ribosomal RNA
Source: RNAcentral